GCCUUCGUGGUGUAACGGUAGCACACUUGGCUGGUAUUCGAGAGGUCCAGGUCGAGUCCCGGCGCGGACA
Molecule: transfer RNA, 70 nt
Filed under: Stegodyphus mimosarum
Lineage: Eukaryota; Metazoa; Arthropoda; Arachnida; Araneae; Eresidae
Rfam family: tRNA
About the family: Transfer RNA (tRNA) molecules are approximately 80 nucleotides in length.
Source: Rfam by way of RNAcentral